GUUCGUCCGGAUCGUCCGCGAAUUUCACACUGUGCGGCGUGACCGGCACACCGUGCACUCAUCGGGCUCCGUUAAAACAGCGCACCUCAGUUUCGCAGAGUCCGCCGACACGUUCGCGUCCUUCCGCGGAGAUUCGACGUUGUCCUUGUUCCGUCGGGGUGCGUUUACUUUCGCGCGAGGGAGCACCGUAACGAUCUCGAGAAACGGUCGCCAAUGACUUGUCGAAUGCCGCAUUUCCGGAGCGGUUCUGCGAUGUGAUCGAUGGAUAGAUUACGUGGAGUCAGGCAUCUACGGCGGCAUUUGGUUACCUUUGUGCGAUUAGGAUAGGAUAAGCUGUUGUGCUGCAUCGAAAUCACGAAGUUUGUGCAUACAGUUGUGCGCGAGAACAAUAUAUAUCCGGCAUAGCAAAUAGACCAAAUGAACGACUCGAGACUACGUUCUUUAUUCCGCGCGAACGAAGCUGAUUGCGAUACAGCUUGGAGCAUCGAGGGAAUGCAUAAUAUCUGCUUCGGAUAAAUUCCAUGCUGAGAUUACACCGAGAUAAGAAGAGGGAGGAGGAAGAGGAAGAGAAGGACGAAUUUGAAAAGUAGCCUUCUUAACAAGUUGCACGUGCAUCAGCCAGCGACUUUGCAAGGGUGCUUCGGGAGCACCUUUGCAUCAACUUUUAGAUGACAUUAAACGACGUUCAGUUUAACGAACGACUUUGCUCUUUGCUCGCUUAAAUCAACAAAUGUCUAGCACUAUGCCGAUACAACGGAAUAUCGCACCUACGAGUAGAUCGCGGACGAAGCGUUUGCACGGCACGUAACUCUUCGAGGGAACUACGAUAUCGGCGUUUUCGACAUAUAUAUCACGUGGAGAAUGCCGAAGUAAGAUCGCAUCAUGAAUUUCGCCCUGUCGACGAUCGCCGUUUGGCUGGCCUCGGUGACACCUCGUUUAAGCUAUGCGCUUGACGAUGCGGACUAUUAUUCGUCCAUGGAGAGCGGACGUUUCGAGUACGCCAACGUUACAAACUGCACGAACGACGAAUGCAUCUCGGAUGAGGAUUAUCUCGAGAUGAUGGUGGAGCACAUAUUCCCGAAGCUGUCCGACUGGGUGUUGAUCGCGAUGCACAGCAUCGUCUUCGUGGUCGGUCUGAUCGGCAACGCGCUCGUCUGUAUGGCUGUCUAUCGGAAUCAUUCCAUGAGGACCGUGACGAAUUAUUUUAUCGUGAAUCUGGCAGUGGCCGAUCUGCUCGUCUUGCUCAUCUGCCUGCCACCGUCGGUACUUUGGGAUGUCACGGAGACCUGGUUCCUCGGGCUGAAGCUCUGCAAGGCUGUGCCUUAUCUUCAGACAGUAUCGGUGAGUGUGAGCGUUUUGACGCUAACUUUCAUAUCGAUCGACCGGUGGUACGCCAUAUGCUUCCCGCUGCGGUUCAAGUCAACGACGGGCCGAGCGAAAACGGCCAUCAUAAUCAUCUGGUUAAUAGCGCUUCUCUUUGACAUUCCGGAAUUGCUGGUGUUGCAUACGGUGCCGUCAAACAGUCGAGUGCAGACUGUUCUAUUCACACAAUGCGUUUGGUCCUGGAGUCAAGAGAGCCAAACUACCUUCACCAUCGUCAAGUUGAUCCUCCUCUAUAUCGGGCCACUACUCUUCAUGAGCGUAGCGUACUGGCAGAUUGUGCGCGUCCUUUGGAGAAGCGAUAUUCCCGGACACAAUCUGUCCACCAGGGUAUACCAUUCAAACGAGAUUCCAUUGUCUGGAGGUGGAAACCCGGAGGGUCAAUUGAGAUCCCGACGGAAAGCGGCGAAGAUGCUGGUCGCCGUGGUUCUCACUUUCGCGAUAUGUUUCUUUCCGGUCCAUUUACUGUCCAUUUUAAGGUCUACCAUGGCGCUACCGUCAAAUCAAUGGACAAUCGCUAUUAGUCUAAUCGCCCACUGGCUUUGUUAUUUCAACAGUGCGGUGAAUCCUGUCAUCUAUAAUUUUAUGAGCGAUAAGUUCCGGCGAGAGUUUCGUCGUAGUUUUCGAGAAUGCGGUUCCCCAAGCAAGCGCUACCCCGAGAAUGCGGUUAGACUACCGGACAAAAGCACGAAGGGGUGUCAUAUGAGCUUGCGAAAUCGACCGUUUUGACACGUGGCGAAACGAACGUCGCGGCUGACGAAAAUACAACUCGAAAAUACACCUGUACGUACGAGCGUCGUGGCCGAAACGACGUUCGUCGAGACGGGGACAGUCUCGGCAAUCGGCACUCGUUAAAUCGAUCGUACUCGUAUUUAGGGAAAAUUUCGGAAGGAAUUUAAACGUACCUUUUGGUGCUCCCGCAACAGCAGAAUUGGCGCCCAUAAACGUGGAUACGCGAGUGUCUUGGAUCCUCUUAAACAACGAUCACGGAUUAACACAAGAUCGACUCACA
RNAcentral lists this unclassified non-coding RNA (2392 nucleotides) under Harpegnathos saltator (Jerdon's jumping ant). RNAcentral's name for it is "orexin receptor type 2, transcript variant X1". The record is from RNAcentral. Lineage: Eukaryota; Metazoa; Arthropoda; Insecta; Hymenoptera; Formicidae.